RNAcentral lists this ribosomal RNA (1407 nucleotides) under metagenome. Its description in RNAcentral is "bacterial LSU rRNA". It matches the Rfam family "Bacterial large subunit ribosomal RNA", at positions 1431 to 2925 of the family's 2925-position model. The record is from RNAcentral.
AAAUAGUCCCCAGCACAUGCAGAGAUCAAACCAGAGUGCGGAUUCCAAAGCUCGGAGGGGCUGUCAGAUGCCCAGGCCCUUGAGGCCGAUACCGGGGGGAGGAGUUCCUAGAAAAGCUCUGGGGGCAAAGCAUGUCUCGUACCAAAACUGACACAGGUGGAUGAGGCGAAUAGCCUAAGGCGCGCGAGAGAACGGUCGUGAAGGAACUAGGCAAUUUGACCCCUAACUUCGGGAUAAGGGGGCCCUCGCCGCAAGGCAGGGCGCAGAGAAAAGGAUAUGGGAACUGUUUAUCAAAAACACAGCUCUGUGCUAAGACGCAAGUCGAUGUAUACAGAGUGACGCUUGCCCGAUGCCGGAAUGUCAAGAGAGCGGGUCAUCGCAAGAGAAGCUCGCGAUCGAAGCACCGGUGAAUGGCGGCCGUAACUAUGACGGUCCUAAGGUAGCGAGGUUCCUUGUCGGGUAAGUUCCGACGCGCAUGAAUAGCGUAAUCACUGGAUCUCUGUCUCCACGACCGACUCGGUGAAAUAGUAGUGGCGGUGAGAUGCCGCCUACCCGCAGCAAGACGGAAAGACCCCGUGGACCUUCACUAUAGGUCCCUAUUGGCCACGAGCAUAUGCUGCGUAGCAUAGGUGGGAGGCUUUGACGACCGGGUUCCGGCCCGGUAAGAGCCAAAGGUGAAGUACCACCCUGUGUAAGUUUGUGGCCUAACUCUGAUUCCCAUGAAUCUGGGCAGAGGACAGUGGGUGCCGGGUAGUUUGACUGGGGCGGUCUCCUCCAAAAAGGUAACGGAGGAGCGCAAAGUUCGGCUCAGCACGGAUGGAAACCGUGUUUCGAGUGUAAGAGCAUAAGCCGGAUUUACUGCGAGACCGACGGGUCGAGCAGUCUCGAAAGAGGGCUCUAGUGAUCCUGCGAUCCCGUGUGGAAGGGUCGUAGCUCAACGGAUAAAAGGUACCCCGGGGAUAACAGGCUGAUCGCGCCCGAGCGUCCAUAGCGGCGGCGCGGUUUGGCACCUCGAUGUCGGCCCAUCACAUCCUGGGACUGAAGGCGGCCCCAAGGGUUCGGCUGUUCGCCGAUUAAAGUGGUACGCGAGCUGGGUUCAGACCGGCGUGAGCCAGGUCGGUCCCUAUCUGCUGUGGGCGUUGCAAGCUUGAGAGGAGUCAACCUUAGUACGAGAGGAUUGGGUUGGACAUACCCCUGGUGAUCCAGUUGCACUGCUAAGUGCACAGCUGGGUAGCUACGUAUGGCAGGGAUAACCGCUGAAAGCAUCUAAGCGGGAAGCCCCCCUCGAGAUUAGGCUUGCUGGUCGAAAGACGAAAGACCCCUGGUAGACCACCAGGUUGAUAGGCUGCAAGUGUACGGGCAGAAAUGCCUUGAGCUGAGCGGUACUAACGGUCGAAGUUCGGUCAU